GGGGACGAAAGGCCUCGACAGGAACAAUCUUUCCAAUAUGCAAGUUGAGUACUCUGUAAUCUCACAAAACUUACAGAAAAAUAUAAGUGCAAACUUAUUUAGCAAGGUAAGAAGCGCCUUUGCAGGCACUUUGACUCCUGCACCAGUUUACGCUUAAAUAACGUAAACCGUCUGUCUGCUGACUCUUGAUAGGCAGAAUAGGCGUCAUACAUCGGGAUAGAAUAUUUACCACUCCUCACUAAAUAUUCGAAAAAAAGAGGAUAGGAAUACAAGAAUUUUGCUAAGUUUUUAUCUUAUAUUCCGAAUGCAAACAACUUAGAUAAACUUGUAGAAAUAUUGUUUGAGAUAUUCUUUGGACGCGAGUUCGAUUCUCGCCGUCUCCACU
This 385-nucleotide transfer-messenger RNA is filed under the name marine eukaryotic metagenome. It matches the Rfam family "transfer-messenger RNA". Rfam says of the family: Bacterial tmRNA, also known as 10Sa RNA or SsrA, is named for its dual tRNA and mRNA-like properties. Its role is to liberate the mRNA from a stalled ribosome. The record is from RNAcentral.